Molecule: ribosomal RNA, 450 nt
Filed under: uncultured bacterium
Lineage: Bacteria
Description: bacterial SSU rRNA
Rfam family: Bacterial small subunit ribosomal RNA
Source: RNAcentral
ACUCCUACGGGAGGCAGCAGUGGGGAAUAUUGCACAAUGGGCGCAAGCCUGAUGCAGCAACGCCGCGUGAGUGAUGAAGGCCUUCGGUCGUAAAGCUCUGUCCUCAAGGAAGAAUAAAUGACGGUACUUGAGGAGGAAGCCCGGGCUAACUACGUGCCAGCAGCCGCGGUAAUACGUAGGGGGCAAGCGUUAUCCGGAAUCACUGGGGCGUAAAGGGGUGCGUAGGCGGUUUUGCAAGUCAGAAGUGAAAGGCUACGGCUCAACCGUAGUAAGCUUUUGAAACUGCAAGACUAGAGUGCAGGAGAGGAAAGUGGAAUUCCUAGUGUAGAGGUGAAAUUCGUAGAUAUUAGGAGGAACACCAGUGGCGAAGGCGACUUUCUGGACUGUAACUGACGCUGAUGCACGAAAGCGUGGGGAGCGAACAGGAUUAGAUACCCUGGUAGCACAGAG